Molecule: non-coding RNA, 450 nt
Organism: Piliocolobus tephrosceles (Ugandan red Colobus)
Lineage: Eukaryota; Metazoa; Chordata; Mammalia; Primates; Cercopithecidae
Source: the annotation of a RefSeq genome assembly
AUGGACUGGACCUGGAGGAUCAUCUUGGUGGCAGCAGCCACAGGGGCCCACUCUCAGGCCCAGUUGGUGCAGUCUGGGGAUGAGGUGAAGAAGCCUCUGUCCUCAGUGAAGAUCUCCUUCAAGGCUUCUGGAUACACCUUCACCAACAACUUUAUGCACUGGGUGUGACAGGUCCCUGGACAAGGACUUGAGUGGAUGGGAUGGAUCAACACUGGCAAUGGUAACACAAAAUAUGCACAGAAGUUCCAGGGCAGAGUCACCAUAACCAGGGACACGUCCAUGAGCACAGCCUACAUGGAGUUGAGCAGCCUGAGAUCUGAGGACACGGCCGUGUAUUACUGUGCAAGAGACACAGUGGGAACAUCCUCAAAGUGUCAGAAACCCCAGGAAGGAGGCAACUGCGCGGGCAUGGAGGAGAUGACAAAGAUUAUUAGAUUAAAACUUUCUUAG